This 484-nucleotide ribosomal RNA is filed under the name uncultured bacterium. RNAcentral's name for it is "partial 16S ribosomal RNA". It matches the Rfam family "Bacterial small subunit ribosomal RNA", at positions 30 to 507 of the family's 1533-position model. The record is from RNAcentral.
AUUGAACGCUGGCGGCAGGCCUAACACAUGCAAGUCGAGCGGAUGAAGGGAGCUUGCUCCUGGAUUCAGCGGCGGACGGGUGAGUAAUGCCUAGGAAUCUGCCUGGUAGUGGGGGAUAACGUCCGGAAACGGGCGCUAAUACCGCAUACGUCCUGAGGGAGAAAGUGGGGGAUCCUCGGACCUCACGCUAUCAGAUGAGCCUAGGUCGGAUUAGCUAGUUGGUGGGGUAAAGGCCUACCAAGGCGACGAUCCGUAACUGGUCUGAGAGGAUGAUCAGUCACACUGGAACUGAGACACGGUCCAGACUCCUACGGGAGGCAGCAGUGGGGAAUAUUGGACAAAGGGCGAAAGCCUGAUCCAGCCAUGCCGCGUGUGUGAAGAAGGUCUUCGGAUUGUAAAGCACUUUAAGUUGGGAGGAAGGGCAGUAAGUUAAUACCUUGCUGUUUUGACGUUACCAACAGAAUAAGCACCGGCUAACUUCGUG